UUACGGCCAUAUCACGUUGAAACCCCGGUUCCCGUAUGAUCCCUGAAGUUAAGCAACGUCGAGACUGGACAGUACGUAGAUGGGUGACCGCUUGAAAUAUCAGGUGCUGUAAG
This is a non-coding RNA of Acanthosepion pharaonis, 113 nucleotides long. NCBI's taxonomy places the organism in Eukaryota, Metazoa, Mollusca, Cephalopoda, Sepiida, Sepiidae. The record is from the annotation of a GenBank genome assembly.